RNAcentral lists this ribosomal RNA (253 nucleotides) under uncultured bacterium. RNAcentral describes it as "partial 16S ribosomal RNA". It matches the Rfam family "Bacterial small subunit ribosomal RNA", at positions 524 to 776 of the family's 1533-position model. The record is from RNAcentral.
UACGGAAGGGGCUAGAGUUGUUCGGAAUUACUGGGCGUGAAGAGCGCGUAGGCGGCUUACCAAGUUGGGGGUGAAAUCCCGGAGCUCAACUCCGGAACUGCCUUCAAAACUGGUAGGCUCGAGUCCGGAAGAGGGGCGUGGAAUUCCCAGUGUAGAGGUGAAAUUCGUAGUUAUUGGGAAGAACACCGGUGGCGAAGGCGGCGCCCUGGUCCGGUACUGACGCUGAGGCGCGAAAGCGUGGGGAGCAAACAGG